UACGGAGGGUGCAAGCGUUAUCCGGAUUUACUGGGUUUAAAGGGUGCGUAGGUGGGUCUGUAAGUCAGUGGUGAAAUCUCCGAGCUUAACUUGGAAACUGCCAUUGAUACUAUAGGUCUUGAAUUAUCUGGAGGUAAGCGGAAUAUGUCAUGUAGCGGUGAAAUGCUUAGAUAUGACAUAGAACACCCAUUGCGAAGGCAGCUUACUACGGAUUGAUUGACACUGAGGCACGAAAGCGUGGGGAUCAAACAGG
This 253-nucleotide ribosomal RNA is filed under the name uncultured bacterium. RNAcentral describes it as "partial 16S ribosomal RNA". It matches the Rfam family "Bacterial small subunit ribosomal RNA", at positions 524 to 776 of the family's 1533-position model. The record is from RNAcentral.